This 72-nucleotide transfer RNA is filed under the name Ariosoma shiroanago (shiro-anago). Its description in RNAcentral is "tRNA-Asp". It matches the Rfam family "tRNA". Rfam says of the family: Transfer RNA (tRNA) molecules are approximately 80 nucleotides in length. Their secondary structure includes four short double-helical elements and three loops (D, anti-codon, and T loops). Further hydrogen bonds mediate the characteristic L-shaped molecular structure. tRNAs have two regions of fundamental functional importance: the anti-codon, which is responsible for specific mRNA codon recognition, and the 3' end, to which the tRNAs corresponding amino acid is attached (by aminoacyl-tRNA synthetases). tRNAs cope with the degeneracy of the genetic code in two manners: having more than one tRNA (with a specific anti-codon) for a particular amino acid; and 'wobble' base-pairing, i.e. permitting non-standard base-pairing at the 3rd anti-codon position. Lineage: Eukaryota; Metazoa; Chordata; Actinopteri; Anguilliformes; Congridae. The record is from RNAcentral.
AAGACACUAGUAAUAAUUAACAUACGCUGCCUUGUCAAGACAGAGCUGUAGGUUAGAGUCCUGCGUGUCUUA